Molecule: ribosomal RNA, 1383 nt
Filed under: uncultured prokaryote
Description: partial 16S ribosomal RNA
Rfam family: Bacterial small subunit ribosomal RNA
Source: RNAcentral
AUGAACGCUGGCGGCAUGGAUAAGGCAUGCAAGUCGAACGAGAUUUACCUUCGGGUAAUGAGAGUGGCGAAAGGGUGAGUAACACGUGAGAAAUCUACCCCCGAUUUUGGGAUAGCCCAUAGAAAUGUGGAUUAAUACCAGAUACUCUUCUACAAUGCAUAUUGUAGGAUGUAAAGUUUUUCGAUCAGGGAUGGGCUCGCGUAUCAUCAGCUAGUUGGUAAGGUAACGGCUUACCAAGGCUUUGACGAUUAGGUGGUCUGAGAGGACGAUCACCCACACUGGGACUGAGACACUGCCCAGACUCCUACGGGAGGCUGCAGUCGAGAAUCUUCCGCAAUGCGCGAAAGCGUGACGGAGCGAUGCCGCGUGCAGGAUGAAGGCCUUCGGGUCGUAAACUGCUGUCACUCGGGACGAAUUUUUGACGGUACCGAGAGAGGAAGCCACGGCUAACUACGUGCCAGCAGCCGCGGUAAUACGUAGGUGGCAAGCGUUAUUCGGAUUUAUUGGGCGUAAAGGGUUCGUAGGCGGUCAAGUAAGUUUGAUGUGAAAUCUCCAGGCUCAACCUGGAAACUGCAUUGGAUACUGCUUGACUUGAGUAUUGGAGAGGUAAGCGGAAUUCCUGGUGUAGCGGUGGAAUGCGUAGAUAUCAGGAGGAACACCGAUUGCGAAGGCAGCUUACUGGACAAUAACUGACGCUGAGGAACGAAAGCUAGGGUAGCAAACAGGAUUAGAUACCCCUUGUAAUCCCGGCCGUAAAACGUUGUAUACUAGAUGUGAGCAGUUUUGACCCUGUUCGUGUCCCCAGCUAACGCGAUAAAUAUAACCGCCUGGGGGAGUACGGGGGGCAACGCUAAAACUCAAAGGAAUUGACGGGGGCCCGCACAAGCGGUGGAGCAUGUGGCUUAAUUGGAGGCAACGCGAAGACCCUUACCUGGGUUUGACAUAUAUAGGACAGCCUGUGAAAGCAGGUUUCUCUUCGGAGUCUAUAUACAGGUGCUGCAUGGCUGUCGUCAGCUCGUGCCGUGAGGUGUUCGGUUAAGUCCGGCAACGAGCGCAACCCGUGUCAUUAGUUGCCAACAGGUAAUGCUGAGGACUCUAGAGAGACUGCCCGUGGUAAGCGGGAGGAAGGCGCGGACGACGUCAAGUCAGUAUGGCCCUUACACCCAGGGCUGCACACGUGCUACAAUGGCCGAUACAAUGGGACGCUACACCGCGAGGUGGAGCAAAUCCUUAAAGCCGGCCCUAGUUCGGAUUGUAGUCUGCAACUCGACUACUUGAAGUCGGAAUCGCUAGUAAAGGCGUAUCAGCAAUGGCGCCUUGAAUACGUUCCCGGGCCUUGUACACACCGCCCGUCACAUCAUGGAAGCUGGUUGCACCCGAAGU